GACAGAGGGUGCAAACGUUGUUCGGAUUUACUGGGCGUAAAGAGCGUGUAGGCGGCCAGGUAGGUCUGCUGUGAAAACUCGAGGCUCAACCUCGAGACGUCGGCGGAAACCAUCUGGCUAGAGUCCGGAAGAGGAGAGUGGAAUUCCUGGUGUAGCGGUGAAAUGCGCAGAUAUCAGGAAGAACACCCGUGGCGAAGGCGGCUCUCUGGGACGGUACUGACGCUGAGACGCGAAAGCGUGGGGAGCGAACAGG
This 253-nucleotide ribosomal RNA is filed under the name uncultured bacterium. Its description in RNAcentral is "partial 16S ribosomal RNA". It matches the Rfam family "Bacterial small subunit ribosomal RNA", at positions 524 to 776 of the family's 1533-position model. The record is from RNAcentral.